GUCACUUCUCAGCCUUUUGGCUAAGAUCAAGUGUAGCAUCUGUCCUUAUCAGUUUAACAUCUGAUACAUCUUCUAUUCAAGGACAAUAUAUUAAAUGGAUUUUGGAAUUUGUAGUCAGAAUGGGAGCUUGCUCCGUCCACUCCACGGAUUGACUUGGUAUUGCAGUACCUCUUGGAAUGGUGCACCAUUU
Small nuclear RNA from Nannospalax galili (Upper Galilee mountains blind mole rat), 190 nucleotides. Its record names the gene U2. It matches the Rfam family "U2 spliceosomal RNA". Rfam says of the family: U2 is a small nuclear RNA (snRNA) component of the spliceosome (involved in pre-mRNA splicing). The record is from Ensembl. NCBI's taxonomy places the organism in Eukaryota, Metazoa, Chordata, Mammalia, Rodentia, Spalacidae.